RNAcentral lists this long non-coding RNA (562 nucleotides) under Daucus carota (carrot). RNAcentral describes it as "long non-coding RNA (DCAR_LNC002911)". The record is from RNAcentral. Lineage: Eukaryota; Viridiplantae; Streptophyta; Magnoliopsida; Apiales; Apiaceae.
AUUCACAGGUUCCAUCGUUCCCAUCGCUUCUUACUUAAUGGUUAGGUCUUAUUUCUACAAUGGAGCUCAUAAUUAAAUUUUUUCUUGAGCCGAUUUUCUUAGUCUUUAUUGGCUUGAAGCUCUUUUUUUUUUGUUCUAUGAACGGAUUCGUUUUGUUUUUUAUGAAUCCAUAUUGAUUGAUGCUUUAUAUUACAUUGCUUUUUUAUGAGACUUUAUGAGAUGACUCAUAAACCUUACAUAUAAACCUUACAUAUUGGAUGGAAUUUUAUAUCGUUGUUUUUUCUCCCCUUCUUUCACCCUUACAUAAUAUCUUACGCAUCCAAUUUAACCGCGCGACCAUUAUAACAAAGCCUGUUGAAGAUACUCUAACAUGCUAUCUGAGGUGGAAGGCUAGUGGCCAAAACAUAAAUCAUGUGUACGAUAAUUCAAUGAUUUUUCCUUUCAUAAGUUAAAUCAGCGGUUAUGAUAUUUUUAAAUGGGUAAUCCAUGCUAGACACGCAGACACUCUUCCGACUUCCGUAAAUAUUAAUAUCGUGGGAUGGUCAGAUUUGUAGCACAUCCC